This 5205-nucleotide long non-coding RNA is filed under the name Citrus x clementina. Its description in RNAcentral is "Citrus clementina (C. clementina) long non-coding RNA (CCLE_LNC000024)". The record is from RNAcentral. Lineage: Eukaryota; Viridiplantae; Streptophyta; Magnoliopsida; Sapindales; Rutaceae.
ACCAGAAGCCAAGCGUGCCAGGAUCUGCUCGACCGCGCGAAGGCGAGCAGAAUCCCAAGCAUUGAAGAAUUUUCUAAGGCAUGCAAAGGCUCAUCAAGUCUCAAAGCCUGUUUAUGGCGAGACCAGAUGUCGAGCGUGCCAGAAUCUACUCGACCGCGAAGGCGAGCAGAAUCCCAAGCAUUGAAGAAUUUUCUAAGGCAUGCAAAGGCUCACGAAGUCUCGAAGCCUUUUUAUGGCGAGACCAGAAGCCAAGCGUGCCAGGAUCUGCUCGACCGCACGAAGGCGAGCAGAAUCCCAAGCAUUGAAGAAUUUUCUAAGGCAUGCAAAGGCUCACGAAGUCUCCAAGCCUGUUUAUGGCGAGACCAGAAGCCAAGCGUGCCAGGAUCUGCUCGACCGCGCGAAGGCGAGCAGAAUCCCAAGCAUUGAAGAAUUUUCUAAGGCAUGCAAAGGCUCAUCAAGUCUCACAGCCUGUUUAUGGCGAGACCAGAUGCCAAGGGUGCCAGAAUCUGCUCGACCGCACGAAGGCGAGCAGAAUCCCAAGCAUUGAAGAAUUUUCUAAGGCAUGCAAAGGCUCAUCAAGUCUCAAAGACUGUUUAUGACGAGACCAGAUGCCAAGGGUGCCAGAAUCUGCUCGACCGCACGAAGGCGAGCAGAAUCCCAAGCAUUGAAGAAUUUUCUAAGGCAUGCAAAGGCUCAUCAAGUCUCAAAGACUGUUUAUGGCGAGACCAGAAGCCAAACGUGCCAGGAUCAGCUCGACCGCGCGAAGGCGAGCAGAAUCCCAAGUAUUGAAGAAUUUUCUAAGGCAUGCAAAGGCUCAUCAAGUUUCAAAGCCUGUUUAUGAUGAGACCAGAUGCCAAGCGUGCCAGGAUCUGCUCGACAGUGCGAAGGCGAGCAGAAUCCCAAGCAUUGAAGAAUUUUCUAAGGCAUGCAAAGGCUCAUCAAGUCUCACAGCCUGUUUAUGGCGAGACCAGAUGCCAAGGGUGCCAGAAUCUGCUCGACCGCACGAAGGCGAGCAGAAUCCCAAGCAUUGAAGAAUUUUCUAAGGCAUGCAAAGGCUCACGAAGUCUGAAAGCCUGUUUAUGGCGAGACCAGAAGCCAACUGUGUCAGGAUCUGCUCGACCGUGCGAAGGCGAGCGGAAUCCCAAGCAUUGAAGAAUUUUCUAAGGCAUGCAAGGGCUCAUCAAGUCUCAAAGCUUGUUUAUGGCUAGACCAGAUGCCAAGCGUGCCAGAAUCUGCGCGAUCGCGCGAAGGCGAGCAGAAUCCCAAGCAUUGAAGAAUUUUCUAACGCAUGCAAAGGUUCAUCAAGUCUCAAAGCAUGUUUAUGGCGAGACCAGAUGCCAAGCGUGCCAGAAUCUGCUCGACCGCGCGAAGGCGAGCAGAAUCCCAAGUAAUGAAGAAUUUUCUAAGGCAUGCAAAGGCUCACGAAGUCUCAAAGCCUGUUUAUGGCGAGACCAGAAGCCAAGCGUGCCAGGAUAUGCUCGACCGCGCGAAGGCGAGCAGAAUCCCAAGCAUUGAAGAAGUUUCUAAGGCAAGCAAAGGCUCAUCAAGUAUCAAAGCCUGUUUAUGGCGAGACCAGAUGCCAAGCGUACCAGGAUCUGCUCGACCGCGCGAAGGCGAGCAGAAUCCCAAGCAUUGAAGAAUUUUCUAAGGCAUGCAAAGGCUCACGAAGUCUGAAAGCCUGUUUAUGGCGAGACCAGAAGCCAAGUGUGUCAGGAUCUGCUCGACCGUGCGAAGGCGAGCGGAAUCCCAAGCAUUGAAGAAUUUUCUAAGGCAUGCAAAGGCUCAUCAAGUCUCAAAGCCUGUUUAUGGCUAGACCAGAUGCCAAGGGUGCCAGAAUCUGCUCGACCGCGCGAAGGCGAGCAGAAUCCCAAGUAUUAAAGAAUUUUCUACGGCAUGCAAAGGUUCAUCAAGUCUCAAAGCCUGUUUAUGGCGAGACCAGAUGCGAACCGUGCCAGAAUCUGCUCGACCGCGCGAAGGCGAGCAGAAUCCCAAGCAAUGAAGAAUUUUCUAAGGCAUGCAAAGGCUCAUGAAGUCUCAAAGCCUGUUUAUGGCGUGACCAGAAGCCAAGCGUGCCAGGAUCUGCUCGAACGCGCGAAGGCGAGCAGAAUCCCAAGCAAUGAAGAAUUUUCUAAGGCAUGCAAAGGCUCAUGAAGUCUCAAAGCCUGUUUAUGGCGUGACCAGAAGCCAAGCGUGCCAGGAUCUGCUCGAACGCGCGAAGGCGAGCAGAAUCCCAAGCAUUGAAGAAUUUUCUAAGGCAUGCAAAGGCUCAUCAAGUCUCAAAGCCUGUUUAUGGCUAGACCAGAAGCCAAGCGUGCCAGGAUAUGCUCAACCGCGCGAAGGCGAGCAGAAUCCCAAGCAUUGAAGAAGUUUCUAAGGCAAGCAAAGGCUCAUCAAGUCUCAAAGCCUGUUUAUGGCGAGACCAGAUGCCAAGCGUGCCAGAAUCUGCUCGACCGCGCGAAGGCGAGCAGAAUCCCAAGUAUUGAAGAAUUUUCUAAGGCAUGCAAAGGCUCAUGAAGUCUCAAAGCCUGUUUAUGGCGUGACCAGAAGCCAAGCGUGCCAGGAUCUGCUCGAACGCGCGAAGGCGAGCAGAAUCCCAAGCAUUGAAGAAUUUUCUAAGGCAUGCAAAGGCUCAUGAAGUCUCAAAGCCUGUUUAUGGCGUGACCAGAAGCCAAGCGUGCCAGGAUCUGCUCGAACGCGCGAAGGCGAGCAGAAUCCCAAGCAUUGAAGAAUUUUCUAAGGCAUGCAAAGGCUCAUCAAGUCUCAAAGCCUGUUUAUGGCUAGACCAGAUGCCAAGCGUGCCAGAAUCUGCUCGACCGCGCGAAGGCGAGCAGAAUCCCAAGCAUUGAAGAAUUUUUUAAAGCAUGCAAAGGUUCAUCAAGUCUCAAAGCAUGUUUAUGGCGAGACCAGAAGCCAAGCGUGCCAGAAUCUGCUCGACCGCGCGAAGGCGAGCAGAAUCCCAAGCAUUAAAGAAUUUUCUAAGGCAUGCAAAGGCUCAUCACGUCUCAAAGCCUGUUUAUGGCGAGACCAGAUGCCAAGCGUGCCGGGGUCUGCUCGACCGUGCGAAGGCGAGCAGAAUCCCAAGCAUUGAAGAAUUUUCUAAGGCAUGCAAAGGCUCAUUAAGUCUCAAAGCCUGUUUAUGGCUAGACCAGAUGCCAAGCGUGCCAGAAUCUGCUCGACCGCAGGAAAGGCGAGCAGAAUCCCAAGCAUUGAAGAAUUUUCUAAAGCAUGCAAAGGUUCAUCAAGUCUCAAAGCAUGUUUAUGGCGAGACCAGAAGCCAAGCGUGCCAGAAUCUGCUCGACCGCGCGAAGGCGAGCAGAAUCCCAUGUAAUGAAGAAUUUUCUAAGGCAUGCAAAGGCUCACGAAGUCUCAAAACCUGUUUAUGGCGAGACCAGAAGCCAAGCGUGCCAAGAUUUGCUCGACCGCGCGAAGGCGAGCAGAAUCCCAAGCAUUGAAGAAUUUUCUAAGGCAUGCAAAGGCUCAUUAAGUCUCAAAGCCUGUUUAUGGCUAGACUAGAAGCCAAGCGUGCCAGAAUCUGCUCGACCCCGCGAAGGCGAGCAGAAUCCCAAGCUUUGAAGAAUUUUCUAAGGCAUGCAAAGGCUCAUCAAAACUCAAAGCCUGUUUAUGGCGAGACCAGAUGCCAAGCGUGCCAGAAUCUGCUCGACCGCGCGAAGGCGAGCAGAAUCCCAAGCAUUGAAGAAUUUUCUAAGGCAUGCAAAGGCUCACUAAGUCUCAACGCCUGUUUAUGGCGAGACCGGAAGCCAAGCGUGCCAGGAUCUGGUCGACCGCGCGAAGGCGAGCAGAAUCCCAAGCAUUGAAGAAUUUUGUAAGGCAUGCAAAGGCUCACGAACUCUCAAAGCCUGUUUAUGGCGAGACCAGAAGCCAAGCGUGCCAGGAUCUGCUCGACCGCGCGAAGGCGAGCAGAAUCCCAAGCAUUAAAGAAUUUUCUAAGGCAUGCAAAGGCUCAUCAAGUCUCAAAGCCUGUUUAUGGCGAGACCAGAUGCCAAGCGUGCUGGGGUCUGAUCGACCGUGCGAAGGCGAGCAGAAUCCAAAGCAUUGAAGAAUUUUCUAAGGCAUGCAAAGGCUCACGAAGUCUCAAAGCCUGUUUAUGGCGAGACCAGAAGCCAAGCGUGCCAGGACCUGCUCGACCGCGCGAAGUUGAGAAGAAUCCCAAGUAUUGAAGAAUUUUCUAAGGCAUGCAAAGGCUCAUCAAGUUUCAAAGCCUGUUUGUGGCGAGACCAGAUGCCAAGCGUGCCGGGAUCUGCUCGACCGUGCGACGGCGAGCAGAAUCCCAAGCAUUGAAGAAUUUUCUGAGGCAUGCAAAGGCUCAUCAAGUCUCAAAGCCUGUUUAUGGCUAGACCAGAUGCCAAGCGUGCCAGAAUCUGCUCGACCGCGCGAAGGCGAGCAGAAUCCCAAGCAUUGAAGAAUUUUCUAACGCAUGCAAAGGUUCAUCAAGUCUCAAAGCCUGUUUAUGGCGAGACCAGAUGCCAAGCGUGCCAGAAUCAGCACGACCGCGCGAAGGCGAGCAGAAUCCCAAGCAUUGAAGAAUUUUCUAAGGCAUGCAAAGGCUCACGAAGUCUCAAAGCCUGAUUAUGGCGAGACUAGAAGCCAAGCGUGCCAGGAUCUGCACGACCGCGCGAAGGCGAGCAGAAUCCCAAGUAUUGAAGAAUUUUCUAAGGCAUGCAAAGGCUCAUCAAGUCUCAAAGCCUGUUUAUGGCGAGACCAGAUGCCAAGCGUGCCAGGAUCUGCUCGACCGCGCGAAGGCGAGCAAAAUCCCAAGUAUUGAAGAAUUUUCUAAGCCAUGCAAAGGCUCAUCAAGUUUCAAAGCCUGUUUAUGACGAGACCAGAUGCCAAGCGUGCCAGGAUCUGCUCGACAGUGCGAAGGCGAGCAGAAUCCCAAGCAUUGAAGAAUUUUCUAAGGCAUGCAAAGCCUCAUCAAGUUUCAGAGCCUGUUUAUGGCGAGACCAGAUGCCAAGCGUGCGAGGAUCUGCUCGACCGUGCGAAGGCGAGCAGAAUCCCAAGCAUUGCAGAAUUUUCUAAGGCAUGCAAUGGCUUAUCAAGUCUCAAAGCCUGUUUAUGGCAAGACCAGAUGCCAAGGGUGCCAGAAUCUACUCGACCGCGCGAAGGCGAGCAGAAUCCCAAACAUUGAAGAAUUUUCUAAGGCAUGCAAAGGCUCACAAAGUCUCAAAGCCUGUUUAUGGCGAGACC